This 346-nucleotide small nuclear RNA is filed under the name Nannospalax galili (Upper Galilee mountains blind mole rat). Its description in RNAcentral is "7SK RNA (ENSNGAG00000005951.1)". It matches the Rfam family "7SK RNA". From Rfam's summary of the family: 7SK was discovered as an abundant small nuclear RNA in the mid-70s but a possible function has only recently been suggested. Two independent studies have found that 7SK RNA binds the CDK9/cyclin T complex (known as elongation factor P-TEFb). P-TEFb activates transcription by phosphorylating the C-terminal domain of RNA polymerase II. The record is from RNAcentral. Lineage: Eukaryota; Metazoa; Chordata; Mammalia; Rodentia; Spalacidae.
GGAUGUGAGGGCAAUCUGGCUGUGACAUCUGUCACCCCAUUGAUUGCCAGGGUUGAUUCGGCUGAUCUGGGUGGCUAGGUGGGUAUCCCCUUCUUCCCUCAAUGCUCCACCUACCAUUCAUCCCUUCCGAAGCUGCACCCUUGCCCUCGGUCGAAGAGGAUGACCUUCCCCGAUAGAGGAGGACCGAUAGAGGAGGACUGGUCUUUGGUCAACGGUAUACAAGUGGCUGUGCUCCCCUGCUAGAACCUCCAAACAAGCUCUCAAGAAAGCAGUCUGAGCCGGGCAUGGUGGCCCACACCUUUAAUCCCAGCACUUGGGAGGCAGUGACAGGCGGAUCUCUGUGAGU